RNAcentral lists this ribosomal RNA (580 nucleotides) under Debaryomyces sp. 50c. Its description in RNAcentral is "partial 18S ribosomal RNA". The stretch from base 222 to 375 matches the Rfam family "5.8S ribosomal RNA". The record is from RNAcentral. Lineage: Eukaryota; Fungi; Ascomycota; Pichiomycetes; Serinales; Debaryomycetaceae.
UGAACCUGCGGAAGGAUCAUUACAGUAUUCUUUUUGCCAGCGCUUAAUUGCGCGGCGAAAAAACCUUACACACAGUGUUUUUUGUUAUUACAAGAACUUUUGCUUUGGUCUGGACUAGAAAUAGUUUGGGCCAGAGGUUUACUGAACUAAACUUCAAUAUUUAUAUUGAAUUGUUAUUUAUUUAAUUGUCAAUUUGUUGAUUAAAUUCAAAAAAUCUUCAAAACUUUCAACAACGGAUCUCUUGGUUCUCGCAUCGAUGAAGAACGCAGCGAAAUGCGAUAAGUAAUAUGAAUUGCAGAUUUUCGUGAAUCAUCGAAUCUUUGAACGCACAUUGCGCCCUCUGGUAUUCCAGAGGGCAUGCCUGUUUGAGCGUCAUUUCUCUCUCAAACCUUCGGGUUUGGUAUUGAGUGAUACUCUUAGUUGAACUAGGCGUUUGCUUGAAAUGUAUUGGCAUGAGUGGUACUGGAUAGUGCUAUAUGACUUUCAAUGUAUUAGGUUUAUCCAACUCGUUGAAUAGUUUAAUGGUAUAUUUCUCGGUAUUCUAGGCUCGGCCUUACAAUAUAACAAACAAGUUGACCUC